RNAcentral lists this ribosomal RNA (875 nucleotides) under Salmonella enterica. RNAcentral describes it as "partial 23S ribosomal RNA". It matches the Rfam family "Bacterial large subunit ribosomal RNA", at positions 885 to 1757 of the family's 2925-position model. Lineage: Bacteria; Pseudomonadati; Pseudomonadota; Gammaproteobacteria; Enterobacterales; Enterobacteriaceae. The record is from RNAcentral.
UGAAUUCAUCUCCGGGGGUAGAGCACUGUUUCGGCUAGGGGGCCAUCCCGGCUUACCAACCCGAUGCAAACUGCGAAUACCGGAGAAUGUUAUCACGGGAGACACACGGCGGGUGCUAACGUCCGUCGUGAAGAGGGAAACAACCCAGACCGCCAGCUAAGGUCCCAAAGUCAUGGUUAAGUGGGAAACGAUGUGGGAAGGCCCAGACAGCCAGGAUGUUGGCUUAGAAGCAGCCAUCAUUUAAAGAAAGCGUAAUAGCUCACUGGUCGAGUCGGCCUGCGCGGAAGAUGUAACGGGGCUAAACCAUGCACCGAAGCUGCGGCAGCGACGCUGAUGCGUUGUUGGGUAGGGGAGCGUUCUGUAAGCCUGUGAAGGUGGCCUGUGAGGGUUGCUGGAGGUAUCAGAAGUGCGAAUGCUGACAUAAGUAACGAUAAAGCGGGUGAAAAGCCCGCUCGCCGGAAGACCAAGGGUUCCUGUCCAACGUUAAUCGGGGCAGGGUGAGUCGACCCCUAAGGCGAGGCCGAAAGGCGUAGUCGAUGGGAAACGGGUUAAUAUUCCCGUACUUGGUGUUACUGCGAAGGGGGGACGGAGAAGGCUAUGUUGGCCGGGCGACGGUUGUCCCGGUUUAAGCGUGUAGGUGUGUGUUCCAGGUAAAUCCGGUUCACUUUAACACUGAGGCGUGAUGACGAGGCACUACGGUGCUGAAGCAACAAAUGCCCUGCUUCCAGGAAAAGCCUCUAAGCAUCAGGUAACAUCAAAUCGUACCCCAAACCGACACAGGUGGUCAGGUAGAGAAUACCAAGGCGCUUGAGAGAACUCGGGUGAAGGAACUAGGCAAAAUGGUGCCGUAACUUCGGGAGAAGGCACGCUGACAC